CUUUCAUUCAGCUAGGCAAAAAGGCUUUGAGCAGCCCCACAAUUGCCUUUCUCUCAUUUAUUUGUGAUAGAAUUAAGGUUUAUUUGUUUUCUGUUUUCUUCUUCUUCAGAUUGUUUCUCUGUAUUUAUUCAUUUAGCAAACUGUUUCUUCCUGCAUCUCAGAAAGAUGCACCUAUAGGGCCUACAUCUCUGUCUGCAGUCUGCACACCUUCUUUUGAGUGCAUUUCUCUCAACUCAUUUUGCUGGAGCUCCUAAAUAUCUCUCAAGAGAAAAGGAACUGAGAUGAAAGAAGUGGAAACGACUUAGCCAACAUAGUAAUUUUGUUUGAAAGAUCAAUCAGUUCCCUGUGAGAAAUUUUCUGGGAUGGGAACCAGAGUACCUGGGAUCCAAAAGCAGCAUCUCCGCCACCAGCUCUACAGGUUGUUCCCAACAUGCCUACCUCAUCUUCCCUGAAGGGAUUCAUACCUGAAUAACCACAAGCUGUUGGGUAUAGCCACAACAGUGGAUUGUCAGUCAGUGUGGAUUGAAGGGGAAAGCCACUGGAGGACUGGAAGACAAGAAAUUAUUGAACUAUUAGACUGCACGGCCUUGAUUUUCAGGCUGAAGUUCACCAUUCUCGGGCCUCCAUGGACUGGAUUUUCACCCUCAGAAGACUUCAUGGAAUCCACUUAUGGCCCCUGAGGCCAACACCAGAUCUCAGCCAGGCUGGGGAUACUUGAAGCUCCAUCAUAACCCAAUGGAGCAUACAGGCUCUUGGCCAUCUGGUGUCCCCUGAGCCUACCCUUCUCUGAUCUAUGCCAGACUGGGCAUAUGCUAGGAUAUUUCAGGACCCUGGGGGUGAGGCAAAAUGUCAUAGAGCCAGUAUGAGAAUGAAAAGAACAAGAUCCAAGUGUGAGACUGAUGGGGGUGUGAAUUACUGAUGCAAACGGACUCACCUGAGGUGGACUGAAAACCAGUGAAAACAAGAGUCAGUUUAUAGAACUCCCACCAGCCAAAUAUGGGACUACUUUAGAAUCAAGCAGCUGAGAUCAAAGUAUCUUCAAACUAUUGACACAAACUUGGUUAUCAGGAAAUCUGCAUCUGGAAUUUGUAUUUCAAAUGAAUGUUUUGCCCUCAAUGCCCCCAAAUGGACAAUGUCUCCAGACAUAUAGUUAGAUGACAGGGUGAUCACCUGCCAUAGCUAAGAAACUUCAUCCAGGAGGCAAUUUUGCAACUUGGAACAAGGAACUCAUCGAAGGUAAGUAUUGACCUUCCCAU
This is a non-coding RNA of Oryctolagus cuniculus (rabbit), 1256 nucleotides long. The record is from RefSeq and is a predicted model, not a curated record. Lineage: Eukaryota; Metazoa; Chordata; Mammalia; Lagomorpha; Leporidae.